RNAcentral lists this ribosomal RNA (352 nucleotides) under uncultured bacterium. RNAcentral describes it as "bacterial SSU rRNA". It matches the Rfam family "Bacterial small subunit ribosomal RNA", at positions 8 to 350 of the family's 1533-position model. The record is from RNAcentral.
AGAGUUUGAUCCUGGCUCAGGAUGAACGCUAGCUACAGGCUUAACACAUGCAAGUCGAGGGGAAACGACAUCGAAAGCUUGCUUUUGAUGGGCGUCGACCGGCGCACGGGUGAGUAACGCGUAUCCAACCUGCCCAUCACUUGGGGAUAACCUUGCGAAAGUAAGACUAAUACCCAAUGAUAUCUCUAGAAGGCAUCUGAAAGAGAUUAAAGAUUUAUCGGUGAUGGAUGGGGAUGCGUCUGAUUAGCUUGUUGGCGGGGUAACGGCCACCAAAGCAACGAUCAGUAGGGUUCUGAGAGGAAGGUCCCCCANAUUGGAACUGAGACACGGUCCAAACGUCCUACGGGAGGCA